ACCACGAGGGCCACGGCGGAAGAUGUGCCGAGGAAGCCACGGCGAAACGCGGCACCACGUGGGGCCUCCAGACAGUCAUGAUGGGACUGUGCCAUCGUGGUUUCAUCGGGACACCGAGUGUGGGGAGAGGUGUAGCGCCAGGGAGGAGAGCUGCUUUACCUUCCGCAGAUCAGACGUCUUCAUUCCGUCUGAAGCUCCCACCAACGUUCACAUGGAGAAAAAAAAAAAAAAAAAAGACCAAUCCAUCCAAAAAUCCGCCUUCUCAAAAAGCUUUCUAAUAACCCGGUGGAGCUAAGUUUGCAAACUAUCGCGGUAUUCUCGGAUUAAUCCACCUGCUGUUAGAAUGGAUUUGCAAAGCCGCCUUUUUUUUUUUUUUGCUAUUUACCUGGAUUUCCUGGAUUUCCACGAGGUCAUGAACAAAGUUCAGCGUCACGUGACUUUUAAACUCCAUAUACGAGGUCAAGUUUUUAUUUAAUUUUUUUUUUAACAGGAGGGUAUUAAAGAUAUGAUUGCAUUUAAGCAUGCAUUAAUGUAUGUAUUCAUUUAUUUAUUUGAUUUAUUUGUUGAAUGGAUUUGGGAAUCAUGUAUGUGGCAACUACAGCGCUUCACCGGUGCGUCUGCUCAGUUCAGCCAAAAGAGCAAGAAGCAAACCUGGCACAGGUAAACUGCCGCAGCCCCCUUUUGACUUUUGAUUCCGUGGAGCGGGACAGAGAUGCUCAACAUCUGAAAAUGUGUAAAAAGUGGAGAUUACACACAAAACGAAGUCGCGCGAUUCUGUGCGCCAAAGUGAUUCAAAUGAUCUCAAAUCUACCUCUCCGGGUGUGUAUGAGGGGAGCCUGGGUGUGUUCAGUCAGUGUAGCUGAUGCAGGCCCUGUUGUGGGAGUCCACCGCGGAGCAGCACCCUGGAAGGUGGGGGACUGGGGGGGGGGGGGGGGGGUGCUGCUGCUGACAUGGAGCCCUGGCACCACAUAACAGGGCAUGUUCGCUUAUCCCCCCUUCCUUUUCUGCAAAUCGACAGGAGAUGCAACCCGGGAGAAGUGCUAUAAAACAAACUCUUGCUCUCAAAGGUGUGCGCGGCUUUGUACCGGUGCGUUUUGCCUGUUAGCUGCACAUCCUCUGUCUUUUCAUCUGUCAGUUAUUCCCCCUCAUGUUUUGCCAUUUGCUCUGUAUAUCCAUUUGUCGCCUGGUAUUUUUUUUUUUUUUUUCAAUGCCUGCACACACCCGCGGUUGUAAUUAAAUUUCUCCCUCAUAUGCGACAAAGGCAAAGACGCUUUUUUCUUUCUUUUUUUUCGUUCUGAGAUGUGUUUGAUUACAGAUGUGAUGUUGAGAGAAUCUGUGCAGCUCCUGCAGACCUCUGAGAGCAAGGCGGGGAUGUGAGCGCUCGGUAGCCACGGCAGAUUGGAUGAAAAUGAAGUGGAAGCACGUGCUAAAAGGGGCCUCGGAAGAGGGUCUGGAAGUCAGCUUGACUGCUGAAUCAGUGCCUGGAGCUCACUGUCCUUCUCCCAUCCGGGCUGCAAUAGGCCCGCGAGGGACUCUUGAAAGAUCAUCCAGGCAAUAUUAUACCAGAAAUCUUUCUGCUGAAUUCCUGACUUUUAUUUUGUUAAUUUCCCGCGUUUUGUCUGUCUUUUAUUUCUCGUUUUUUUUUUUGCUAUCACGGUUGGUUAUCGGCCUCAGCGAAACCACUUUGUGCAACCAAGUCGCCGUGCUUCCCCUCGUAGCUCUCAGAACGAAAUGAGCAGCGCCCCCUACCGCCCGCCGGUGACCCUGCACAGUGGCGCUUGGACGCGGAGCUCACGGGCCCAGUGGUUAGUAAACAGUUUGUAAUCCCAUAGAGCCGUUUCACGCCGCUCUCGGGGAUCACUGGGGCGCAGUCACGAGCGUGAAUAUCCGCCGCUUUUCGUGUGAGUGAGUGCGGGUUUUCAGAGCACGCGUCCGUCCGCUUUUUUUUGGUGCACGGGGGGCACGAAGAUGGCCAAAAAAAUCUGACCGAAUCAGUGCGGACGGGAGCAGCCCGGGUGUAACGUGAUGGAUCACACCAGACAGUUCCGCCCAAAAACACACACGUUAAAGUCUGGAUUUAUUUUUGUUUUUGUUUGUUUGUUGGUUUGUUUAAUUUCUCGACGAGUUAUUCUGUGGCAAUACCCGCAAUCCUGCCCGACUCGUCCUCUCUGGCUCAUAUUCUACAUUUCUCCCCUCAUCCAAAUCAAAGCCCUCUGUGCUCUGUGCGGCUUGUCAAGC
This is a long non-coding RNA of Xiphias gladius (swordfish), 2238 nucleotides long. RefSeq lists it as uncharacterized. The transcript has 3 exons. The record is from RefSeq and is a predicted model, not a curated record. NCBI's taxonomy places the organism in Eukaryota, Metazoa, Chordata, Actinopteri, Istiophoriformes, Xiphiidae.